UGCCAUCCACAACUACAAAAAUGCAGCAUGUUGCCACAACCAUACCACAAUGGUAUCAAUCUACCAUAACAUGGCUAAAAAUUUUAGUUUUCUAAUUUCAAUAAAUAUUACAAUCAAAUCCCAAAAAGGUUCAUUAGCAAUACUACCACAAAUGCCACAACAAGGCAGCAUAUUGCCACAUCCAUAUCAUAAUGGUAUCAGUCAACCAAAAUAUAGCCAAAAAUAUGAAUUUUCUAGUUAACAUAACCAAUAUAUUCAACCAACAAAAAGGAAAUAAUCGCAGUUCAUUUUUUUUGGUCUCUUGGAGCCACAAUGUCAUAGCCUUGACAUCCUUACAGUUGGUUGCUUCCUGUUUGAGGAUCUACUUUGUUGGCUUUCUUGGUUGGUAUCACUUAUAAGCUAACUUGGUUCCUGUAUAUAAGUCUUCAUGGUUAGUAUGUAAGUAGAUCGCAGCACCCAAAAAAAGGCAAUUGAGAACUAGUACCUAUGAAAGAGUAGUAGCAGUAGUACUUGAGACACUAGCCUGAGCUAUAGAAGCUACAGAUGUUGCAUUUUUUGUUGGACCAACUUUAGAUGCCUAUAGUUCAAAUCGAAAUGAAUGAGUGUAUAAGUAACAACAAAAUAAACUAAAAAAUUGAUUUGGUUCUAAAAUGUUACAUUACUUUGUAAAGUUUGGAUUUAGGGUGAUUGCUGAUUUGCAGGUUCUUCUGUUAAGUUCAGAUUUCAAACGCCUUCGGCAGUAAACUGCAAGACCCUUCCUACUUGCUUUCUACUGAUUUAUAGGCUAUUCUAGACCCUUCUUCCUCUGUGUCUUUGGCCUACCAGGCUGUUUUUUCACCAAUGGUGGGUUCAAAUAUUGCAUUUUGCUAUCCACCUAGAACUAUUUCAAAGGAACGGGACCAAUUGUGAAGUUGUAGGCCCUUAAAUAUGCUUCCCUAUGGUGACAAGCAUCAACAUAUUGCUCGAAUUCCAACUUUCUGCUAUGAAUGCAGGCAACCGCAUGCACGCAUGGAAUGCCACUAAGUUGAAAAUGACCAUAGGUACAUGUUUUCAUCUCCACAUUAACAACAUUUGUCCUUCCAUAGCCAUCAACUUCCAAAUUUUCAUUUCUCCAUAAAUCGCAGCACAAUUUCUUGCAUUUACCUUUAGUUUCUCUAACUUCUCAUGAAUGUUUUGGGCAUAAAGUGCCACCAUGUUUCAGGAUGUCCUCUCAUUUAGUUGCUGACCUUUGCAUUAAUCUCCUCUGAAUCCACUCCAGCAUUGUUAUUAUUGGCUCAUCUCUAGCUUUUAGAAUAUAAUUAUUCCAUGGCUCACUCAUAUUGUUGAUGCACGUGUCACUCCUACAAGCUGUACUGGACCAUAGUUUUGGAGGCAACUGUUUGAACCAUCCUGCAGCUGCUAGCUUGUCACCUUCCUGUGGAUCCGCCCUUUCAAGAUUUGUUAGGGUAGUUUCAUACUCUGAUAUGCUUGCUGCUGCAGCAACUUUCCAAAACAUGCCCCUAUGGUCUUGAUUUUUGAAUCUUUGUUUGAAGUUCCCGAACAUAUGUUUCAGGCAGAAUUUGUGCUCUAAUUCAGGGAACAACUCCUCAAUUACAUGGACAAGGCCCCUUUGUCUAUUCGAAAUGAAAGUGUAAGCCAAGACUGUAAGCAUCCCUACCCAAGACUGUAAGCAGCUAACUUCCAAAGGGACUAUUCAGCAAGCAGCCAUCUAGUCCUAUCAUAGGUCUGCAUCCUUCUAGAAAAUCAUUCUUUAGAGUACCUAAUCCAUAAUAUAUCCUCUGAAAUGUAGCCCUUUUCUCAACAUUUCGCCUAUCAAUUUGUAGUGAAAUAUGACUAUCAUAAUUGGAUAUUUUUACAGUAGCUACAUAAUCCCAAAGUUUAUGGUAUUGUUCCAUGUCAUUUUUCAUAAGUGCCUCUAAUACUUUCGGCUUUGUUGUUACAGCUUUUUUCUAACUAAUGUCUAGCAUAAAUAAUCUGCUUGUCUCUUUCACUAUGGCAAGAAUACUAUACCCAAGAUCAUCUGUCACCUUGACAUAAAAUUUAUUACUUAGAUAUGUUGAAGUGGCAUGUCUAUUGUUGUAAUUCCUGCCACAAUGGUAUUCUCCCUUAAGAGUUUUGAUCAUAAAUAUCUUUGUUCUAUAGAUUCUGCUUGCAUGAAUUCUCCAACUGCACCCUUUUGCACAUUUAGUUGUGAUUUGGAAGCCUUCAUUUUUGAUGUAUUUGUGCUCAUAUCCUUCCCUAAUUUCUCAUUCCACCAAAGCCUCUCUAAAUUUACAGAAGCUAGUAAAUUUAUGGUCAACCUAUAGUUCAAAGUGCUCUUUUCUAAACUCUUCCUCCGCAUUGAAGUAACUGUAAUCAGGAAUGCUAUCAUCAUCAGAUCCUAUCCCUUUGUCAAACAGGUUUUCAUCAUCCUCUACUGGCUCAUUCCAGUUCUCUUCCUGUUCAUUAGCACAACAGCUAUCAUCCACACCUGAUGUUGGUUGACUCCCCACUUCAUGGGUCUGGUUCUUUGUUUGUUUUCUUGAUUUCGAUUACUGAUUUUGUUGUUGCUACUUUGAAUCAAUUUGUUUUUUGAAUUGGGCCUGCUGAUUUUCUUCUUGUUAAUCUAAAUCGACUUAUUUUCUAGUUUUUACUUGCUAAUUUUCUUUUUACUGCUGUGAACCAACUCCAACAAAAUUUGUAGAUUUUAGAUUUAUAGAUACCUGUGUUGAUCAUUAACCUUUUAAACUUAUAAAUAUGUCAUCAUCUUCAGGCCAUUCUAGUGCUUCUCUUAGUCAGUCAGGAAGAUCUGAAUAAUCUAGUUUGACAUCAUCUUCUUCUCUGUCUUCAUGAACUAUUUUUUCUCCCAUAAUAUUAGUUGUUUCUUCUAUUGGAUCUCUCUCAACUGUUGUUUCAUCUACUGAAUUCCUUGUGGGAGACUGUUGGACCUCUGAGGAUGUAUCGACUUUUUCUUUCUCUUUAAAUAACCGCCUGACUGACUUUUUUGCACUUAACUUUACUCUUUGCCGCUUAACUUUUUUAUCAUUUGUUGUUUUCUUCCUUUUGGACUUGUUAGCUAAAUCAUGUAUCUCCUCUCUAUGUGGUCCCACAAAAGUUGGAUCCGACUCCAUUUGUGAUGACUCUUCAUCACAGAUGUCAUUUCCUCUAGAGUUAAUGUGUGGAAUGUCAUUAUUGUCCUUAUUCCCAAUUACUAAAGGGUCAAUGUUAUCACUGCUUUUCAUAACUGAGGAUGAACUAAUUUCAACAUGCCAAUUGUUAUCAUAUGGAAGUGCAACUACGCCAUCACUAGUCACUCUCUUGUAUAGUAAUUUUUCAUCUAAAAACAUAACUUCAAUGGGAUCAGGCCCCCUCUCAGCAUCUAUGUGCAUUUUUGGAAGUCCCUCAUAACAUGUUGUUAAUAACUCGAUGUCAACAUCAUCCUUAAUGCUAACAACACCAAUAUCAAUGUCAUAAAAGGGGAUAGAGUACCAGAAAUUCAUAUUUGUUAUGCCACGCUCAAUUGUGAUAUACAUUUUUUGAAAUUCAAAUGAAGAUAAUUCAUCAGGAUCCCAUCCACAAAAUACUCUGAAGUGUUUGCCAGUGUAUCUAAUUAUCGAUUUUCAUUUGAAAUAUCCAUCAUAAUGCAUGUGUAUAUCUAUGGUCUUAAACGGAUGAUCUUCCAUUCUUAUACACCUAAACCAAAGUAAUAGAGAUUAAUUUACUAAUUUCAUUUUCAAUUGUAUCGAAAAGAACGGACAAUAUUUCAUACAUUUUCGAUUUCAAAAAAACAUAGUCAACAUUAACGCACUUAUCUAGAAGGAUAAAAAACAUAAUACCAGUAUGGGCUACAAUAGUCCCGGUUACUCCAAAAAGACCCAUUCUUUUCUACUUUUUGCAUAUUUAGCAAUUUUUAAAAAAUUUUCCCACAAAGAUUGUCAAAAAAACUUCUGACUAAGCCAAAACUGACACUCUUUUUACCAAGUUUCAAAAUAUCCCCAACAAUUUACUACCAAAACACCUUCCAUCAAACCAAUCAACACCUCUAAAAUUUAGGGUUCAGAUCUAAGAUUACCUCGUUAAUAGCUAUGCAAUGCUCAAUACGUCGCAACCCUCGACCGAUCUACACAGAAACGCCUUCUUCGUCUGCGAGUUACACAUGAAAAUCCCGUUGUUUAUCGGUGCCGUAGAAGAUGAUAGUGAUUGGGACGGAACUUGGCUGUAGAUUUAAGGUUUCUCUCUCUACACAUGAAGUACCGCUCAAGAUCUGCUAAUUGCAUCUGUACCUUUUCAGAUAUUAUAAAUGAGGGUACUUUUGGUAUUUUAUAUUGUUACCGGCUUUCCAGCCAGUUAGCUAGUAAAAUCCAAAGAAAUCCAAAGUACAAGGGAGUUAAGUGAGUGUUUCUAGACAAUAAGGGGGUUUCGUGUCAAUUUUCCUAACCACAAGGGGAUUUUCUGUAUUUUACCCAUAAUUUUUCUAAAAAAAAGUACAUUUGCUUAGAAUAAGAUCUCUUAAUAAUAACUUAAAUUUCUUCUAGAAUUAGUAAAUUUCAACAAUUAUAAUGGCAUUGGAAAGGUAUCAAGUUGAAGGAAUGAAACGAGCCAUAAAGAUUAAACAAUUCAUAAUGAACAAGAAGAAUAUACCUUAAUAUGCAACUUGGUCCAUGUGAGAUAAAUCUUCAAACUUUUGGCAACUCAAUUUCUUUUAAUUGUCUUUACUUCCUGCAUAUAUAACAAAAAAUUUACAAAAAAUUCUAUGAACAAUAAAGCAAGUAACUUGUACACAGAUAGUAGAUGUUUGACCGUAAAACAAUAAAGUUUACCUUUUUUUUGAUCCCGUGAAGAUUUUUACACUAAUCUUCUACACACAUCAAUACUUGAGUUGUAUCUGGGUGAAGUGAAGCCUGAUAGGUAUCAAUUACUAGAGUCUUGGCACUAAAUGUGGCCUCGGAUGCAACUGUAGUUACUAGAAUGGCCAAAAGAUUACAGGCCAUGUGAAACAAUACUAGGUAUGGGAUCCAAUUUAUUUUCUAUAAUUCCAAACAAUCAAAGUCUUUGGUGGUUGUUCCAAUCUUUUGGCAAGACUUGUCUAAAUAAUCAACAAAUUCAUAUUUAUAAGGUUCGGUAUUCUAUAUUUCAUCACAAUACUUAUCAAAGUCAUCCUAAGCAGAAAAAUAUUGUAUAUUUUUUCCUACCAUUUCUGAAGAGUGGUCUUCCACUACUUGUCCAUUUGCAUUCACUGUAAAAGCAACAUACUCCUCAUGCAACUCAAAUAUAACUUUUCAAAUAUUGGAAAUGUUCUCAAAAGCUAGGGUAGAAAAGCUCUAUAACCCGUAUUUUCUAUCUCGGAUCUAAAAUGGCAGCAACUGUCAUUAGCAAAUUACAUUCAAUAUUGUGACGACCCCACCUUCUUCUAGGGCGUACCCUAGAAGUUAGCGGACUGCCUGCCUGACUUUCGUUAGGACUCACUCACUCACAUUGACUUCAGAGAUAAUAUUUCCAUUAAACAACUGAACGUUCACUCCUAAGUACAACUCCAAUCAGCUUGAAACAUAAAUUUUUCCAAUAAAAGAAACAAAAUACAUGUUCUAAACAUCCAUUCUUAAUACCACACCAAACUCAUGAUAAAAGGUUUGACCAUUUCAAGGUACAAAGGAAAACCAUAGCUACAAUAUAUACACAUUAACGGAUCUUUCAAAACAACUUACUAAUUCAACUCGAUCAUUCUUCAAACUUCAAUUCCUGUAAGGAAAACAAACUAAAAGAUUGAGCGAAACCCAGUGAGGUUCCACACAAGCAACAAUCAAUAAACUCUUAAACCAGUUAAGCCAAUAACAAAAUUAAACAACUAAGGAACACUUUACUGAACAAUCACUUUUAAAGGGAUACGGUGCUCGCAUUAGAGCCAUUUCAAUGCACUACACACUCCACCGAACUCCUCCUUAUAAUCUCCAAAACAGUAAACAUUUCGCUUACUUAGAUGGUCAUAUCAAUAUCAGUAAUCUGCUACUCCGUGGUAAUACUCGAGCAUAAAACACUGGCAUAAUCAUAUAAGUAUCAUUUAAGCAACACAUAGGCAAUUUAAACACACAAAUGUGGAAACACUCACCAAAUUCCAAAUAAAUUACUCUCGAGUCUCGGGUUUGCUUUCUUACUCACAGCUAGCCCCCUGAGACAAGUUUAUAACUCUAAAGUGAAUAUACAAUUCAUAGAUGACCACUUAUCAUUUAUUACCUUAUGAUUUAAACUAUUAAAGUCGAGUUUUGGCUUUAAAAUACA
This 6255-nucleotide long non-coding RNA is filed under the name Coffea arabica (coffee). RNAcentral's name for it is "long non-coding RNA (CARA_LNC006645)". The record is from RNAcentral. Lineage: Eukaryota; Viridiplantae; Streptophyta; Magnoliopsida; Gentianales; Rubiaceae.